This 243-nucleotide unclassified non-coding RNA is filed under the name fungal sp. RNAcentral's name for it is "partial internal transcribed spacer region". The stretch from base 1 to 46 matches the Rfam family "Eukaryotic small subunit ribosomal RNA", at positions 1786 to 1831 of the family's 1831-position model. Lineage: Eukaryota; Fungi. The record is from RNAcentral.
AAGUCGUAACAAGGUUUCCGUAGGUGAACCUGCGGAUGGAUCAUUACCAAAGGAUUCAUUUCCAACGUAUUGUGAACUGUUUUGAAUUUACAGUCAGUGUUUUACUUGGAUCUACAGUAGUGGCAACGCUACAGUUAGGGAAGGGUAAGCACUGGCUGUACCCUAAAACACGUAUUUUUCUAAAACUGAAGUCUUUUUAGUAUUAACUAAAAACAACUUUUAGCAACGGAUCUCUUGGCUCUC